This 502-nucleotide ribosomal RNA is filed under the name Vermamoeba vermiformis. RNAcentral describes it as "SSU rRNA". It matches the Rfam family "Eukaryotic small subunit ribosomal RNA", at positions 1215 to 1719 of the family's 1831-position model. Lineage: Eukaryota; Tubulinea; Echinamoebida; Vermamoebidae. The record is from RNAcentral.
UUACGAGGUCAGGACACUGUGAGGAUUGACAGAUUGAAAGCUCUUUCUUGAUUCAGUGGGUGGUGGUGCAUGGCCGUUCUUAGUUGGUGGAGUGAUUUGUCUGGUUAAUUCCGUUAACGAACGAGACCUUAACCUGCUAAAUAGUCACGCGAACCGGUCCGCAAGGGCUCAAAGUUCGCGGCUCGACUUCUUAGAGGGACUAUUCGCACCCGCCAGCGAAUGGAAGUUUGAGGCAAUAACAGGUCUGUGAUGCCCUUAGAUGUUCUCGGCCGCACGCGCGUUACACUGACGGAGUCAACGAGCGUUUUUCCUUGCCCGACAGGGCUGGGUAACCUCCUGAAACUCCGUCGUGAUGGGGAUAGAUCAUUGCAAUUAUUGAUCUUGAACGAGGAAUUCCUAGUAAGCGCGAGUCAUCAACUCGCGCUGAUUACGUCCCUGCCCUUUGUACACACCGCCCGUCGCUCCUACCGAUUGAACGGCCCGGCGAGAACUCCGGAUGGUC